Long non-coding RNA from Anopheles gambiae (African malaria mosquito), 9049 nucleotides. RefSeq lists it as uncharacterized. The record is from RefSeq and is a predicted model, not a curated record. The transcript has 2 exons. Lineage: Eukaryota; Metazoa; Arthropoda; Insecta; Diptera; Culicidae.
GACCGUGUGGCCCCUUCCGCCCGACCCAGGAGCAAAGGAAACGAACCGCUUAUAAAGUGGCUCAAGGAUCGGAAGCUGGAAGUGUCCGGUGGGGUGGCGCCGGGUGUAAACGACCUUCGCGUGUCUGACGUGCCACAGGGUCGCUACCUGUCAGACAUCGAUGCCCUCAGGGCGUUCUGUUUUCUUCCUCCCUUUUCUGCGCAAUGGCCUUAUUUUGUGCCUGCCUGCUUGCUUUUUACACUGCUUAUCACCUCGUUGGAGGUUUUUUUUUGGUUUGUUUUGUUUUGUUAGCUGCAUUUCCCACUCAGUGCCCAUCCGGAAUGUAGUGCAGACACCCGUUGCCCUACAGACAGACCCGGCCGAUGCAUACAUUCGGUUGCCAUUAUGAAGCGCCCUUUUGCUUCUUAUUACUUAUCGUUGCACUUCGUACUUGUACCUGUGGAAGGUGCGCAACGGUGUGAUGAUGAUGAUGAUGGUGCGUUCCCAAUGCACCGUGCCAAUGCAAAACGAGCACGUACGGAUGAGAACCAGAUGGCAUCGUCGUUCGUGCACUUUCGGGACGAAGUAAUCUGGCACAAUUCUCCAGUCCUACUGGUUGGUGUAAGCAAGCAGAAGGGACGUACUGUGCGAUCUCUUGAAGGACACAAGACGAAAUGUGGCAUAGUUUCACCAUGUGAUUAAGUUGUAAAACAUGUGACAUUAACAGCACAAGGAAAGUGUUCGCAGAUAGUUAUGAUGCCUAUAUUUCAUACCCACAUUUCCUGCGCAUUGCUAGUCUAAUGGGUGUGUUGUAGUGUUUUAAGAACAUAUUUUGUGCCCUAGCAGAGAUCAUCCGCAUGUGGAGCAUCUGCACACUGCUCUACAUAUUGCACGAGACAAACUGUUACAAACUGGUGUGAAUUCGUGUCAACAAACAACAUCAUUGCCCGUGGUUGGGAAAUAAUGCAUUCUGCUGUUUAUAGGCCUGUUUGUGUUUGUACAAAACCCUGCUGCUUCUACCAGACAGUCGCUAGCGCUUGCAACACUUCCAUCUGGCAGUUGUUUCACGUUGUUUUGGUGCAUGUUCACCUGCAUCAUUUAUCGGAUACUGCACCCGACACUAACACGCUUGGUUCGCGUUCGAGUGUCACGUGUGGUCUGGCUAGUUGGCCGAUCGAUAUCUUCCGGAUGCAGCCCGGAUAGCGUCAUUGAACGCGUCACCAUUUAGCUUUCCGGAUGAGCAUGUGUUGUUUUUGCACAGCCAAUUUAUUGAGCAAUAUCUUACAGUGUUUCGAUCGUUACUAUUUAUUUUGACUGGAUAAAACAGCCUAGGUGGCCUUGCAAAUCUUGAAAGCAUGCUGCUUGUGUGCAUCUUCUGCAUCGCGUUUGCAGGCCGGCCAGAAACAUACACAAUUUCCCCGGACAUGCCGGAAAUGUAACUCACUCAGCCUCUUCAAUCUCGCUUCAAGGUUUCUCAGGGCGUUUUUUGGUAAAUUGAGCUUAUCCUCAAUCCCUUCCCUGGAAUUCCUGGGCAGCGGCAUCUCGCUUUAAUUUGAUCCCGAGUGGUGGUGGUGGCAACGUUGGCAUUCGGUGGUCUGGUGCCACGGAAACGAUGCAUUAAUUCGAAAAUUAUCGUCAAUUUUACCCUUCGAGGCCACCGGACGGAGGAGAAAGCAACGAGCCCGGCGCCGCCUUCAUUCAGUUCCCUUUUUCGAGUGCUUCAUUUGUUUUCCCUCCGGUUUUGAUUGUGUUUUUGUGUUUUCGGGGCUUUUCUUUUUGCUUGGUUUUUCGCCGUUGGUGCUGGUGCACUCGUGAAAAUCGUUCGUGAAGUAAGAAAAAGGGUGUGUGUGUGUCGGUAGGGUGGAAUGGAGUGUGAAUGAAUGACUGGUCAGAUUUGUGCCAGACGCGCCAGAGUUCGAUCGAUCGGCGCUGCGAGAGUUCGCAUACAAUUGAUCCUAACUUACCAGACCGCACACUUUCCAUAUGGCAGGGAGGGAGGGCUCGAGGGGAAUGUAAACCCAUAGGGAAAGAGCAUUAAACGUUAAAGAAACGAUCGCAGAAACAAUGUUGCUACUGCCGGCAGCUAGAUACACCAUCCGCUUAUCGCUUUCGUGCAGUUUUGUUGCUGACGAUUGUUUUGCUCUCGAGCGGCUCGGGGAUUGAGUUUUUGCAUUUUUGCAUGUGCAACGGUGCACACUGGCGUGGCGUUUGCACCGGUUUCGCCUUCGCUGGCGGGUUGUGCACGUUUUCCAAGAAUUAACACAAAACAUAACUACGGGCUUUUUUAUAUUUUAUUUCUGCAUCCCGAUCCGACAGCUUGCUGCUGCCAUCCACCAGCCAGCCACCGUUUUCUGUCAGUAUGGAAUGCCGUUCCGUUAGGUUAUCGUUAUAGUUCUGGUGAAAUUGCAUAUUGAUUGUGAAAUUGCAAUUGUACUACAUUAAUUGAUUCGUCACUUAUUUGAGGUUAUAUUCAGAUCUUUGGAUUGAACAUUUUUUAGUGCAUUGAUUUUCGCUUGCAGGAAGGAACGAAGUCUUGGUUCAUGUUUAAAUUGCAUCGAGUUUUUUUGUACAACAAACUGAAUGACUAUUUUUUUUAACAUAAAUGAUAAUGUGAGAAAAUGAUCCAACUCUAUCUAAGAGUUUUAUUUCCUUUUUUAUCUUUUUUACACAAAGUUUACACACAAGUUCUUCAAAAAACAUAAAAAAUAUAUUAAAAAUAUUUUGUUUAAAUAGUUAUGAUAAAUAAACCGUUAUGAUUCAAAUUACGGGCAGCUUCAAAUCCUCGACAUUCUGCAUGUUUUUUAUUGUAUAUCUUCAUACCCAGUCCCUGGACAUGCUGAUUUUUUUGCAAAGAUGUAUUACAAUAAAUUAAAAAUGUGUCUGACCCCUAGUAGGCCCUAAUGCCACAGUAAAUACAUAUUUUCUGUCGGUCGGUUCACCAGAGGCAUUUUUAGCAGUUUUGCUUCAAACCGACGCCAGCGUUAUUUCUUCGAUAAUUCGUAUUAAUCGCGUUCACGUGCAUUGAAAUUCCUCGGAAUCCAUUGUGGAAGUGAAAAUUUUUAUCAACGUGAAAACAACCGUGUAUUAUCAAAUUUCAUUAACGUAACUUUUAAUAAUGUCCGCAAUUCGAAGCAAGUUUUUUUUAUCUUGUUUUUAAAUUCCGGACAGCCGAGUUAAAUUGUGAUUUAUUGCAUAAAAAUAUGUUUUUACACAGUGUAUGUUUUAAAAAUAUGUUUUACACAUAAUAACAAGAAAUCAACGACAUUUGAAGAUGUAUGUGACAAAUGCAUUAAGGGCCGUACGGGAAAGACCGUCAAUUCGCGUAACAAUUCUUGGGUUCUAUUCAUCUACAAUUACGAGAGAAAAACAACAUCUAAAUCCCGUUGUAUUUAAGACCGUCGUUCUGUCAGUCUAAGAAGACACACAAUCAAGUGUCCAGAUUUUGAAACAAGUUAAAAACUAAAAAUGUGUAGUACGUGAGUGUUAAUUUGAAGAUUGUAAAAGGCUGUCCGGCAUAUGAUUCAAAUCAUUCACAAAUUGAAACAUGAGCUCGAAACUGUUCGGAAUAUGAAUCAAAAUAUUGUUACAAAUUGAUGAGUUUUUGCAAUGUAUAGCAAAAGAUUCCGUUAAUUUCACUCGUUCUUGUCGAGAAAAUUCUUAACUUUUACGAUAACCCAACAUCAUCUCUUUGUGGUUAAUCUUUUAAAGCCGUUCCCCUUUCUCGAGUGAGUCAUGCAAUAUCAGCAAAAUUGCAUUGUUAGGAACGUGUUUUUGCAGCGCCUAGAGGACAGAUUUAGCUGCAUGAGUAGUCGUAAGAUGUAUCGUCCGUUUCUACACAUGCAGAUUUGCACUAUUUUUUAAAACUGAAAUACUAUACGUCCAUGCGCAGAAAUGUCUGCAUUAAAAAAUAGCCAAGCAAAUUCUUUCUAAUAGUUAUGAUUAUUUUUUAAAACGUUUACCAGCUAGAGUAAAUAACCCUUUUACACAUUGUUGUAAAAUGCCAAACAAAAGAGCAACUCUUUUGCGAACCUCUACCGAACGUACACAAACCAUGGCAAAUCUUUUGAAACAAAGCAUGAAGCGAAAAAAAAACGCAGGCUCAAAAUACCUUCCCGUUCCCACAACGGAAUGAAACCUGCCACCGAACGUAAAUUUUCUCGCAUUGAACUAUUUACGAUCUUCCUUUUAUGGCGCUGAAACGCGAUGUUUAUUCAUUCGAAACUCACGCGCACGUAUGUGUGUGUGUGUGUGAUUCACAAUGCUUCCAUGCGGUUAACUUGCAAUAACCUGUGGACGAUGACUGUGUCCCGCGCUGUACAAAGAGGGCAGCAUCAUCAGCAGCAGCGAACAAACAAACAAAAAAAGAGUGUAUCAUAAUUAAUUAGCCCAUUCGCCCUAUUGAAUUGUUGUUACAUAUAUGGUUAAUAUUGCUCCAUUAUAAACGGGACCCGGUGGGAUUGUCCCGGGACGGCGACACGGCAUCGACGACCCCGUGUGUAUCGCGCGCACGCACUAUCAGUUGCAACGAGAUUGUGUGUUUCAACCACUGGCUCCAUCUUUCUUCCGCCCCACCGGCGGGGCAGCUCAAUGUCACACGUCAGACCGCGGGCAAGUCGCCGACGCGGAGGGCUCUUCCGAUGCUGUGGCACCAGAACUCUGCAGCCAUGUGUCAGCAUCCGUUCAUCGUCUGCACAACCUUCGGUGCCGGUUAUGGUGCCAUUUGUUAAGUGCAUGGAAACAAGUGUGUGUGUGCACCCUCGGUAGCAGUGGACGAGAUGGUUGUCCUCGGUGACUUUUGUCGUACACUUCGCCAAAGUCUUCGAUGACAAUAUACGUUUCGCUUUCCGUACGUGGCUUCAACACGUUGCACAAGAAGCAACAGGAAAUGGAUGGUGGGGACUUUGUGUGCACCUUGUGGCCUUUGAUCUGCUUCACCAGAUAGGAGGAACGCUGGGUCGAGAUUUGCACCGUGUUCGGUUCAUUAUCUGGUGCAAUUAUUUAAAGCAUAUGUAACGGUCGAACAUGAAUAGCAGCGAUACCCGGUAGGAGAGAGGUGAAAGAGGGAUGAAUCAUUGUCAAAUUUUGUGGUAAUUUUACACGAUCGUGAAAAUGAUGUCACCGAGUAGUUAAACCGCAAUAAAAAUGCAUUAAUUGGUGUGGCUGCGUUUCCGGACAAUGAAUUUAUAUAGCGCCACGCUCAUUGUCCCAUUUAGCGAGAGCGGAUGAUCUAAUUCGAAAUGUAACGCUUUGGUUACGUUAUGAUCGACGCUGGAAGUUGCAUCCAUUGAAAACUUGCGGGAUCGUUGCAUUUAAUACAAUUUUAUAAAUUUUUGAUAAUUUUUUCUUGUUUCAAUUUAUGGGUAAUUAUUACUCGUACGAAGAAAAAGGGAAUUUUGGAUUUUUGAUUUUUUUUCAAGCCUUUUGAAAGCUGUCACUUUUUCAAAUGCCUUUUUAAACAGUUGCGUUUAGACUGAACUCGAAAUCCCCUCAGCAAAGUCAACCAAUUAUACCGAUUCCCAUUGCACCUAUCAAUUGUAAUAACUCCAUCACUAGUUACUCGUUCGUAGUUACGUACCGGUCUGGCAUAGUGAAAGUGAAGGUUAAAUUAAGAGAUCUAAUUAAUGUCUCAGCAUUCUUAUCGCCAUUUACACUGUUAUUUAUCAAACUAAAGAAUUUUUCAUUUAUCACAUUUCCAACAAUCAUCUAUGUAGUGUAUAUUAUAACUAUUCCAAAAGAUGUUUACCAUUAUAUGAUAGUUAGGGAAUCAAUUAUCAUUUUGGUUGGAAUCGAAAUAUAUAUCUUCUUCUUUUUCUUUAGUUGUCGUAAUAAUCAUACAACCCUUCAUUAGCCACUGAUUUUUUUACUAAAACAAUACAAAUCCGUAUAUUUGCUUACAAACUAUUCCCUAACUUAUCAUGUGUGUUUAUUCCUUAUUUGUUUUAUUUCAUUAUUUUAUAUCAAUUCUAUGUAGUUUCUGAAAAGACUCAUGAUUAUUUUUGCCAUUUUCAUUAUUUAUGCCUUUUAGUUUUGGUUUAGAUAAUUCGUUGAAUGCAAGAGGUUUUAUGUGGCACGAUUCAAUAAUUUCUUUUAACAUUUUCCAGUAAUCUUAAAUUUAUAUGCCGUUUUAAAAUUUGUGUUCUAGUGUUUCAGUAAUUUCGCAAAAAGAGCAAUUUUUUACCGAUUUGUAAUUAUGUUUGAAUUUUGUAUCCUGGGUAUUAAUUUUUUCAUUUACUAGUAAAUAGUAUAAGGUCCUUUGUUUUGAGCUGAGUUCAUUUGAAAUAAUAUUUCGCCAUAUAUUGUUCCAUUUUAAUGCUGGGUAUGUAUUUUGUGUAAUUGAAGGAGAAGGAACAAAGUUUAUCAUUGUUUUAUGUAUUUCACAUGCUGUAGGCUUCUCUAUCUUCUCUCUCACAUGCGGUAGCGUUCUGUUAGAUAUGCACAUUCUAUAGUUAAAGUUUUCAGACAUGGAUAGUUUUUGGGGACUAAUUGUAUAUCAGGGGGAUUCUCUGUUUGAUGGUCGUGUAUUAGAACAGAUUCAAAUAAUUUAUUCUGAUCUCUAUCUUUUUAUUGAUUCUCAUGCCAAAAUCUUUUUCUUUUAUUCUGGAUUAUUUCAUUUCUCAAAACUCUUUAAAAUCGUUCCAAAGAUUAAAAAAAAUCAAAAUGAUGGUCGUUUCCAGCAGACAUGUUGGAUAAUUAUUUUUCUAAAUCAGUGGUAUCCUACCUGAGGUCCGCGAAAGAAUGUAUUUUUGAAGACGAAAAGCUUAUUAUUAUACAUAUUUUGCAUUUUUCCCACUACAGUAGAACGUCGAUUAUCCAGGCAGCUCGGGACCGGGUGGAUGCCGAUUAAUCAGUUUCCACGGAUAAUGGUUCAAGAAAUGUCAAAUUCAUAUAAAAUUGUAAAAUUUAUUGGUUUUACUAAAAAUUCACCUUAAAUCAAUCAAUUAAUCACUGAUAGAAUAGUUUUUGAAUCAAUAACAAUAGAUUUAACAAUUGUUUUUCAUCAAAAAUGAAAUUAAAAAAUAUCACUAGACUCUAGAUAGCUCCACAACACAUGUUUUUACAAAGCUGAUCAUCGCAGAAAAUGUUCGCCACGAUUGACCAACUGUCAAAAUCAUGCGCACGGUUAUGCCGCCCGCCGGUUAAUCCGUCCCCGGAUAAUCGACGUUCUACUGUAUUAAGAUUAAAUUUUCAACAAGCAUGUCUAGAAUAAGCUUAAAACAUAUUUUUGAUAAAAAACUUUGAACUAAGUUUAAAAAAAGUAUGUGGGCCCCGGCAAAUGUAUUUUCAAAGCCAAGCGGUCCACGAUCCUAAAAAGGUUGGGGAACACUGCUCUAAAUCUCAUCUCUGUUUUCAAUCUACUUCAACAAAGUAUCUUUAAUACAUUUUUUUAAAUCUUAGACUAAAUUGAUACAAGACUUUACAUUAUUUUUUUUUAAUCAUAGUCAUAAUCUAUACAAUAACAAACAAGUAAUGCAUUACGCUAAUUUAUUCUAUUUAACCUAGAAUAAUUCCAUAUGUACUUGUAGUAUAUGUACUUGUAAUUGUAAUUUUCUUCGCAAUAUUUGGUCGGCUUUCUGAUGUAUGAACUGAUGUAUGAAUCAAAAGCUUGAGAAUUGAAAUGUGCUAAUCGAUUUUGAAAUGCGCUUAGGAAUAUGACACUUACUGGAAUAUCUGCCACUGUAUGCCACAAAAUAUCUUUCUCGAAGACCAAAUGUACUCGCUACAAGAUAUUUUAGCUAAUUAUGUGUCUUAGCUACUACUAAACAUUCACCAGCUACCUAUAAGUAGAUAACAUAAUUUUCCAGUUUUUCAUUAUUUUUUUAAAAUUAGUAUUUAAACAAAAAUACCACCUCUCGCUCUCGCUUAUUGGCAACCGGCACAGGUCUACUUGUGUUUGUAAUGUGAUGUUUGCAGUUUGAAGCACACGAUACCACACGAAAAACAUACAGCCAAAUAAACCAAAACAGCGCGAGGCCUGAUAAGCGCAAACAGUUAUCUCACCAACCGAACCGUAAUAAUGAUUGACAGUGAGAGAUAGACGAUAAGAAACGAACAUAUACCACAACGUGUCAGGCCGCCUCGAAAAUUUCAUUGGCAGAUCCACAUUUUUUACUGUCUUCGUCACAUCAAUUCCCGAAGCCGAAGCCCUGGGCUCUAGGGGGUAGAUAACAUCAGCGACGCUGAAGUGCCUCCCGAUCGUGCGUCGAUCAAAUGGGAUUGAUUGGCUCGCCGCCAAAUGUGUCGAGGAGCGAGGUUGGUCCAGCUGAUAAAUGAUUGCAGAAAGCAAUGUCAAUGCCGGUGACAACAUUGUGUGAAAUGUGUGGCCGAAUGCCAUCAUCGCGCUAUUUUUUUUUUAUUUGCCGUUUGUGCCGCCCCACCCGUUAGCAGUUCCGGAAGCAGCGGUUAUGUUUUGAAUCUGGUGGACGUCCCUGACGGAGAGGGAGGGUGGUGCGCCAUGCUUGCGCCUUCGUCGUGUCGCGGUAGAAGAAUGUCACCGGGUGAGUUAAGCAGAUUGUUGUGAAGAAGAAGAAGAAAAAAAAAACACGUAAAAGAAGAAACCACCGUCUGCCACCACAUCAACUUCCCCAGUCAAUGGAGACAGCGAAUGACGUCAUUUGUGCAUACAAAGUUCUAGCCCCCCUGGCUCUCUGUUCGAUUGAGCCGUUUUAUUAUGCACGGGAGGGAGAGGGAGACACUCGGAGGAAUGGUUUUUAAUAUUUAACACACUGUUCGGUGGUGCAUGAAAUAAAUCAGUCCGGUCUGCCCAAAAACAGAAUCCGCAGGGCACGCGCGGGGGGCACUUAAAGCGCAUAACAAAACGGCCGAAAGUAGCGACGACCGUCGGCUGCAUUCCAAUUAUUAACCGGCUGCCCCGUGCGGCCUUCCCCGCGGCACGAUCCGCGGCACGAUAAGGGACUGUGGCCGCGUGGGCCCAUGCCGGCAAACGAUCCGGAACCGUGUGCGCAUAUCUAAUAAAACCGGGUCGCGUUUAAGAUUUAACUAGCCCAAAUAGAAAAAUAAAACCGGUGCGACGGUGCAUACAGUGAUCGUGCUAAUUGUCACCCCUCCCACA